AGUGAACGCUGGCGGUAGGCCUAACACAUGCAAGUCGAACGGCAGCACAGUAAGAGCUCGCUCUUACGGGUGGCGAGUGGCGGACGGGUGAGGCAUACAUCGGAAUCUACUUUUUCGGGGGGGAUAACGGAGGGCAACAUACGCUAAUACAUCAUACGUCCUACGGCUGAGAGCAGGAGUGAUUGACACCUUUCCUGACUGAAUGAGACGAAGCCGUGCCGGAUUAGCUAGUUGGUAAGGUAACGGCCUACCAAGGCAACGAUGCGUAGCUGAUCUGAGAGGAUGAUCAGCCACACUGGAACUGAGACACGGUCCAGACUCCUACGGGAGGCAGCAGUGGGGAAUAUUGGACAAUGGGCGAAAGCCUGAUCCAGCCAUACCGCGUGAGUGAAGAAGGCCUUCGGGUUGUAAAGCCCUUUUGUUGGGAAAGAAAAGCAGUAGGUUAAAACCCCGCUGUUCUGACGGUACCCAAAGAAUAAGCACCGGCUAACUUCGUG
This 497-nucleotide ribosomal RNA is filed under the name uncultured bacterium. Its description in RNAcentral is "partial 16S ribosomal RNA". It matches the Rfam family "Bacterial small subunit ribosomal RNA", at positions 29 to 507 of the family's 1533-position model. The record is from RNAcentral.